RNAcentral lists this ribosomal RNA (2771 nucleotides) under Cupriavidus sp. D384. Its description in RNAcentral is "bacterial LSU rRNA". It matches the Rfam family "Bacterial large subunit ribosomal RNA". The record is from RNAcentral. Lineage: Bacteria; Pseudomonadati; Pseudomonadota; Betaproteobacteria; Burkholderiales; Burkholderiaceae.
AGUGCAUGUGGUGGAUGCCUUGGCGAUCACAGGCGAUGAAGGACGCGGUAGCCUGCGAAAAGCUUCGGGGAGCUGGCAAACAAGCUUUGAUCCGGAGAUGUCCGAAUGGGGAAACCCGGCCCGAAUGGGUCAUCCCUGACUGAAUACAUAGGUCAGGGAAGCGAACGCGGCGAACUGAAACAUCUAAGUAGCUGCAGGAACAGAAAUCAACCGAGAUUCCCAGAGUAGUGGCGAACGAAAUGGGAAGAGCCUUGCACUCUUUAGCAGAACUGUUAGCAAAACGGGAUGGAAAGCCCGGCCAUAGCAGGUGAUAGCCCUGUAUGCGAAAACAGAUUUGUGGAACUAGGUGUGCGACAAGUAGGGCGGGACACGUGAAAUCCUGUCUGAAGAUGGGGGGACCAUCCUCCAAGGCUAAAUACUCGUGAUCGACCGAUAGUGAACCAGUACCGUGAGGGAAAGGCGAAAAGAACCCCGGGAGGGGAGUGAAAUAGAUCCUGAAACCGCAUGCAUACAAACAGUCGGAGCCUGGAAACGGGUGACGGCGUACCUUUUGUAUAAUGGGUCAGCGACUUACAUUCAGUGGCAAGCUUAACCGAUUAGGGAAGGCGUAGCGAAAGCGAGUCCGAACAGGGCGUUGAGUCGCUGGGUGUAGACCCGAAACCAGAUGAUCUAUCCAUGGCCAGGUUGAAGGUGCGGUAACACGUACUGGAGGACCGAACCCACUAACGUUGAAAAGUUAGGGGAUGAGCUGUGGAUAGGGGUGAAAGGCUAAACAAAUCUGGAAAUAGCUGGUUCUCUCCGAAAACUAUUUAGGUAGUGCCUCGUGUCUCACCUUCGGGGGUAGAGCACUGUCAUGGUUGGGGGGUCUAUUGCUGAUUACCCCGCCAUAGCAAACUCCGAAUACCGAAGAGUGCAAUCACGGGAGACAGACAUCGGGUGCUAACGUCCGGUGUCAAGAGGGAAACAACCCAGACCGCCAGCUAAGGUCCCCAAAUAUAGCUAAGUGGGAAACGAAGUGGGAAGGCUAAAACAGUCAGGAGGUUGGCUUAGAAGCAGCCACCCUUUAAAGAAAGCGUAAUAGCUCACUGAUCGAGUCGUCCUGCGCGGAAGAUGUAACGGGGCUAAGCUAUAUACCGAAGCUGCGGACGCACGCAAGUGCGUGGUAGGAGAGCGUUCUGUAAGCCUGUGAAGGUGUCUUGUAAAGGAUGCUGGAGGUAUCAGAAGUGCGAAUGCUGACAUGAGUAGCGAUAAAGGGGGUGAAAGGCCCCCUCGCCGUAAGCCCAAGGUUUCCUACGCAACGUUCAUCGGCGUAGGGUGAGUCGGCCCCUAAGGCGAGGCAGAGAUGCGUAGCUGAUGGGAAGCAGGUUAAUAUUCCUGCACCGUCGUAUGAUGCGAUGGGGGGACGGAUCGCGGAAGGUUGUCCGGGUGUUGGAAGUCCCGGUCCCUGCAUUGGAGAAGGCGCUUAGGCAAAUCCGGGCGCGGAAUUCAAGGAUGUGGGGCGAGCGGCUUUAUGCUGCGAAGCAAUCGGAAGUGGUUCCAAGAAAAGCCUCUAAGCUUCAGUCAUACGAGACCGUACCGCAAACCGACACAGGUGGGCGAGAUGAGUAUUCUAAGGCGCUUGAGAGAACUCGGGAGAAGGAACUCGGCAAAUUGGUACCGUAACUUCGGGAUAAGGUACGCCCUGGUAGCUUGACUGGCCUGCGCCAGAAGGGUGAAGGGGUUGCAAUAAAAUGGUGGCUGCGACUGUUUAAUAAAAACACAGCACUCUGCAAACACGAAAGUGGACGUAUAGGGUGUGACGCCUGCCCGGUGCCGGAAGAUUAAAUGAUGGGGUGCAAGCUCUUGAUUGAAGUCCCGGUAAACGGCGGCCGUAACUAUAACGGUCCUAAGGUAGCGAAAUUCCUUGUCGGGUAAGUUCCGACCUGCACGAAUGGCGUAACGAUGGCCACACUGUCUCCUCCCGAGACUCAGCGAAGUUGAAGUGUUUGUGAUGAUGCAAUCUCCCCGCGGCUAGACGGAAAGACCCCAUGAACCUUUACUGUAGCUUUGCAUUGGACUUUGAACCGAUCUGUGUAGGAUAGGUGGGAGGCUUUGAAGCGUGGACGCUAGUUCACGUGGAGCCGUCCUUGAAAUACCACCCUGGUUUGUUUGAGGUUCUAACCUUGGCCCGUGAAUCCGGGUCGGGGACAGUGCAUGGUAGGCAGUUUGACUGGGGCGGUCUCCUCCCAAAGUGUAACGGAGGAGUUCGAAGGUACGCUUGGUACGGUCGGACAUCGUACCUAAAGUGCAAUGGCAAAAGCGUGCUUAACUGCGAGACCGACAAGUCGAGCAGGUGCGAAAGCAGGACAUAGUGAUCCGGUGGUUCUGAAUGGAAGGGCCAUCGCUCAACGGAUAAAAGGUACUCUGGGGAUAACAGGCUGAUACCGCCCAAGAGUUCAUAUCGACGGCGGUGUUUGGCACCUCGAUGUCGGCUCAUCUCAUCCUGGGGCUGUAGCCGGUCCCAAGGGUAUGGCUGUUCGCCAUUUAAAGAGGUACGUGAGCUGGGUUUAAAACGUCGUGAGACAGUUUGGUCCCUAUCUGCCGUGGGCGUUGGAAUCUUGACGGGGGCUGCUCCUAGUACGAGAGGACCGGAGUGGACGUACCGCUGGUGUACCUGUUGUCUCGCCAGAGGCAUCGCAGGGUAGCUAUGUACGGAAGAGAUAACCGCUGAAAGCAUCUAAGCGGGAAACUCGCCUGAAGAUGAGGAUUCCCUGGAGGCUUGACCUCCUUGA